AUGCAGGGCCUGUCUCUCCUCCCGUGCGCUGGUCCUGUCCCCAGGCAUUGGGCUGCUUCCUGGGGAUGGGCUGAGGUUGGGACGUGGGUCCAGCUUGGUGAGGCCCAUGGCCUAGUAAGGCGAUGCUGUGGGGAGCUGGAGACCAGCACUGGCACAGAGACAGACAACCCUGCAGGCUGCAAUGAGAUCCUGUGCCACCAGCAAGUUGGAGAAGGCUCCAGAGUGCAGGGCAGAAAUUGUGUUAGUCCAUCUUUAUAACAGCUUUCAAGAGCAAGGAUCAAAAAUCUCCCAUCUUCCAAGAGAGCACUGUGGAUGAUGGAAACAGUGAAUGUUCUUUCUGUUCAGUUUUAUUCCUGCACUUGUGCUGUUAUUGCCAUCCAGAUCUUUAUUUUUCAGUAUCUCAGUCAGGAACCUGCUGUUCCUGACAUUUAAUAUAACAGCAAAACUCAUUUUGCAACAUUUGUCAGACGAUGAAGGAUAAAAUGGAGCUUUUAACCGUAUCUGAUGCUAUGUGUGUCUCAUCUAAUUUCUGGAGCUGCUGGAAGCCAGGCAAUCCCAGGCAAUCCGGGCAAUUUCUUCUCCAACAUGGGAAAAUUGAAUGCUGUAAUGUCUAUUUUCUUCUUUUCUUCUGUCUAGACCCUUUUUCCAUACAUAAUACUUCAUGUCUAGAUAGUUUUCCCAGUUCUCACUAGGUAAUGUUAGUUUCCAGACUUGUGCUCAAUGAUUACCACCCAUGCUAGAACAGAGAAUGCUUGCAAAAGGCUUGGAAACUUGAGAUGCUGGUUCAGAACAGGGCCCAAUCUGGCUUUCAGUCUCAAAUUGCAGUUUUCAGAGGCUUUAAUCCAACUAGCUGAGUAUUUCAUUGGCACAGUUACACAAAGGAAUUGAGAAAUAGCAAUCUGCAAAGCAACCUUUAAUAUGUGUAUGUUUUUAAGCAAGCUAGCUCAUCUCUGUAGAUGCCAAAAAUUACACAAUUUUUGCAGUGCCUUAUGAAGUUCAACUGCUUUUCCACCAUACUGUUAAUGCAUAUCUUUCCUUUUGCCACCAACAACUGAAGAAGUCAUACUGCCGUUUUUAGAAAAAAAUUAUUUAAGGGAUGAAAAUGUAAAACAAGCCUGCAGGAGCCCCCUUUUUAAACAUCCUUUUUGGCUGAUUUGCGGUUUGGCUUUUUGUUUUUAACUCAACAGGUGACCUACACACAGCUAUCCCUCUAAGAGAGCUUAUUCUAUUUCCUCUGAAAUAUCUGACCAGCACAACUCUUGCACAAAGCUUCAUACAGAGCAAGAAUUUUAUUUCUUGAAAACCUUUCAUUAGUUGAGAGCCAGAAUGAAUGUAUGCAUCCUCUGUUCUGAAAUUUCAAGGGGAUAUGGUAAGAAAAUGCUAUUAAAUGCAGUCUUGCUCCAGCUGCUUUGUUGUAACUUGCUGCCUAUGGCCUAACUUUCUAUUGUAACUUUCACAUUGAAACACUCAGUCAUCUGAACUUCUGCGUACACAAGGUUUUUAUGUAUAGAGAGAAAGAUACACUGGCAUAACAGAGCAGUCUGCUUUGUUACACAGAGGAAUUAGUGUCAUGUAUAGAUGUUUGCAAGGAUAAAUUGGAUGCAAGUUCAGUGUUGAAACUGCAAUUCUGGAAUGUAUGGGUGCUGCAUACAAUUAUUUUUAGUGCCACAUACAUUCUCUUAUUUCUACUCAAAAGGGACAUUUUCAGUUCUUCUUUACUACCUUUCAAGUGUAUGCCUUCUCAAUUUCUAGUGCCAUGCCUAUUUCAAACUAUGGCUUUUUCCUGUAUCUCAGUUCUUAGUAAAAGGAAGACCUGAUGGGUGACAGAGUGGCUAUUUCUUAUCUUAAUAAUAUUUUAUAAGUAAUCAUUAAAAUUAAGCCAAAUCUUAGAUCUCAGUAAAAAUCUCCCUCAUGGACUUGGACACAUUUCUAUGGACGCCUGUAUGAAUCAAUUAUGUAGGUGACAUAAGGACCAAAAGUAAUACCUCCUAAGUUAUUAUGUUGGCCCACAAUGUCAAAGGAAGAUGGUGAUAUGGCAGUAGAGGCUGAACCUUCUUGCCAAUAUUCUAUUACAUUUUGUUGCUUUGUGACAAUGGUUGAGUAAGAACAGUGGAAUCAUAGAAUGGUUUGUGUUGGAAGGCAUAUUUAAUGACCAUCUAGUCCAACUCCUUUGCCAUAGGAAAGGUCAUCUUUCACGGGAUCACAUUUCUUAAAGGCUCACUCAAUCUGAUCUUGACCACUUUCAAUGAUGGGGCAUUUACAACUUCUUUGACAGCUCUUCCAGUGUCACACCAUCCUCAUUGUGAAAAAUUUGUUUCUUAUAUCCAACCUAAGUAUACCCUUUUUCAGUUUGAAAACAUUGCCACUUGCCUUGCCUUAUCACUGCAGGUUCCACUAAAAAGUCUUUCUCCAUCUUUCUCAUAAGUUCCUUUUGGAUAUUGGAAGAUGACAGUAAAGUGUCCCUAGAGCAUUCUCCAAGAUGAACAACCCCAACUCACUCAACCUCUCCAACCCCUUAAAAGCAAGACUGUUUAAACAAUGUAGAAAUUCAGGAAUCCCAGCCUUUGCAUUGCCUUGACCAUGACCAAGGGGUGUUUAUUUUCACCACAUUCAUUCAUUCAUUAAAAAAAAAAAAAAAAAAAAAAAAAAAAAAAAAAAAAGGAAACAUUUUUCCUCCAAUUCAAAGUUCGUGUUCACAACUUUUGUCCUCUCACAAUUUGCACUGAAUUUAGUGGUGCAAACUGAGCUGUGAAUCAGUUGCCAUGUUCCAAAUCACCAAAAUACUUUAUUAUUAGCAGGUAUUAAAACUGACAUCUUGUUCAAGCAGGAAGGGUAACACAAGUUUAAGGCAUCCUUGUAAGUCAGUGGUAUGUGCAGGAAGCAUAGAAGCAUUGUGUAAAGGGAAGAGAAGCUCGGAAUCCAUCUUGCCAGCUUUUCUGAGGGAAAACUGCCAGAGAUUUGAUCUGUUAAGUCAGUGUUGCCUUUUAAUGAAUAUCCUGGCACAUCUGAUGCUAAAAGUCCCCUCAAGGGAAAAUAUUGUAAAUCUGGCUGGUAGUGCUAGAAGCAAGGCUUGUAGGCUGGGAAGGAAGUUGUUUCUUCUAGCGCAUACUGGGAGCUGAGGAAAGAUGCUGCUUCCCAUCCCAUGAGGCUUGCCCUGGGGAAGUGUGGCCGAGAAUGGCCAUACAGUCAUUUGCUGCCAAAGGAGAAUUUGCUGUGACUGCUGGAGGUGGCACUGAGCCUGGAUGUGAGAAGGGAGCCAACAGUGUCCAAUGGAAUCCCCGCAUGGAAACCCAUGCCAAUAAGUAGCAUAACAUAUGAAAUGAACUAUCUGUAGAUAAGGAGAAUAUACACACCAGGAUGCCUGUGAGUCCUGUGUGUGAAUGUAUGCACAAAUGUGAAAGGAAGCAUUUGAAAAAAUAUUUAUAAAAAGAAUAAAAUUUUACUUCAAAGACUGCUUAUAGGCA
RNAcentral lists this long non-coding RNA (3464 nucleotides) under Phasianus colchicus (ring-necked pheasant). Its description in RNAcentral is "lncRNA (ENSPCLG00000000839.1)". The record is from RNAcentral. Lineage: Eukaryota; Metazoa; Chordata; Aves; Galliformes; Phasianidae.